RNAcentral lists this ribosomal RNA (244 nucleotides) under Encephalitozoon intestinalis. RNAcentral describes it as "partial small subunit ribosomal RNA". It matches the Rfam family "Microsporidia small subunit ribosomal RNA", at positions 974 to 1230 of the family's 1311-position model. Lineage: Eukaryota; Fungi; Microsporidia; Unikaryonidae. The record is from RNAcentral.
UGACAGUGCUCUUUGGGGCAAGGGAGGAAUGGAACAGAACAGGUCCGUUAUGCCCUGAGAUGAAGCGGGCGGCACGCGCACUACGAUAGAUGGCGAGGGAGCUUGCUGUGAGGGAUGAAGCUGUGUAAUGGGCUUCUGAACGUGGAAUUCCUAGUAAUAACGAUUGAACAAGUUGUUUUGAAUGGGUCCCUGUCCUUUGUACACACCGCCCGUCGCUAUCUAAGAUGACGCAGUGGACAAAGAU